UUUCCAGAAUUUAUAUGGGGUAGGCCUACAGGUGUUUGGUUAUUUUCGCUUGUAGGCCUACAUUCUUACUAAAAAUUGCAAUGAGUGCUCAUAUACGAAAGAAAUAUAAGAAGAUGUCUAUGGUUGUAGCUACUUAUUAUAGUAGCAAAGUCAAUAUUUCAUGGGAGAAGUUGCAGAGUAUAAAUUCAGACAUGACGACACAAACCUAGGCUUAAGGAGGGUCAUAAGGUAGUGAAGACUCGAGCUUAAGAGAGUAAUCUUUAUUUUUGUUUUCUUUUUGUAUAGAAUUGGUAUAUAAGCUCUUGUGAAAUAUUGGUGGAUAGAGGGUGUGUUCGGUUAGACCAUAUGAUCGAUAGGUAUAGAUAAGGAGGAGCAUUUAUAGAGGUUUGUCCAGACUUUUGAAAAGUCAACAUGAGGAAUGGAACGAUUUGGUUAAUGUCAACUAAUAUUACAUGAUUAAUCUAACACCCAAGCCGAGUACACACCAGCCAAGACGCCGACAUCCUGUCGCAAUUCAAUUACAGGAAAUGAG
Long non-coding RNA from Patella vulgata (common limpet), 532 nucleotides. RefSeq lists it as uncharacterized. The record is from RefSeq and is a predicted model, not a curated record. The transcript is spliced from 3 exons. Lineage: Eukaryota; Metazoa; Mollusca; Gastropoda; Patellidae.